UUUUGUAUAAAUACCGACUGUACUCCACCUACAAAACCACAUCGUAGCAAGCGAAUCCAACAGAAAACAGAUCAUAUUUUUCAGCUCUAAACCAAUUCCCAUAAUGAAUUUCUUCAAAAUAGUAUUCAUGAUCGCUGCCGCUGUUGCCGCUUUCAGCGGCUAUUACGUAGAAGCUGCCCUCAGUCCUACUGCCAGUCCUCAGGUCAACUAUUUGGGACCCACAAGCAAAUACGAUUGAAAAAAGGGAUAUGACUUUCUUGUAUAUUGUCGAAAUGAAAUGAGAAAAUAAAAUUUAUUUAGAAAAAA
Long non-coding RNA from Anoplophora glabripennis (Asian longhorned beetle), 306 nucleotides. RefSeq lists it as uncharacterized. Lineage: Eukaryota; Metazoa; Arthropoda; Insecta; Coleoptera; Cerambycidae. The record is from RefSeq and is a predicted model, not a curated record. The transcript is spliced from 3 exons.